GGCGAGAUGGUCUAGUGGUAAGGACGAAGUGUUGAGUGCGUAAAGCCAGGAUCGAUUCCUGGUUGUGCCG
Molecule: transfer RNA, 70 nt
Filed under: Paramuricea clavata
Lineage: Eukaryota; Metazoa; Cnidaria; Anthozoa; Malacalcyonacea; Plexauridae
Rfam family: tRNA
About the family: Transfer RNA (tRNA) molecules are approximately 80 nucleotides in length. Their secondary structure includes four short double-helical elements and three loops (D, anti-codon, and T loops).
Source: RNAcentral